Molecule: small nuclear RNA, 168 nt
Organism: Physeter macrocephalus (sperm whale)
Lineage: Eukaryota; Metazoa; Chordata; Mammalia; Artiodactyla; Physeteridae
Gene: U2
Rfam family: U2 spliceosomal RNA
About the family: U2 is a small nuclear RNA (snRNA) component of the spliceosome (involved in pre-mRNA splicing). Complementary binding between U2 snRNA (in an area lying towards the 5' end but 3' to hairpin I) and the branchpoint sequence (BPS) of the intron results the bulging out of an unpaired adenosine, on the BPS, which initiates a nucleophilic attack at the intronic 5' splice site, thus starting the first of two transesterification reactions that mediate splicing.
Source: Ensembl
AACUGAAGACCUUUUGGCUAAGAUCAAGUGUAGCAUCUGUUCUAAUUAGUUUAAUAUCUGAUACAUCUUCUAUCUGAAGAUAACAUAUUAAGUGGAUUUUUGGAGCAGGGGGUUGGAAUAGGAGCUUGCUCUGUCCACUCCAAAAAAAAAAAAAAAAAGUUAUUCUAA